RNAcentral lists this ribosomal RNA (664 nucleotides) under uncultured archaeon. Its description in RNAcentral is "bacterial SSU rRNA". It matches the Rfam family "Archaeal small subunit ribosomal RNA", at positions 691 to 1353 of the family's 1478-position model. The record is from RNAcentral.
CCGACGGUGAGGGAUGAAAGCUGGGGGAGCAAACCGGAUUAGAUACCCGGGUAGUCCCAGCUGUAAACGAUGCAAACUCGAUGAUGCGUUGGCUUGUUGCUAGCGCAGUGUCGCAGGGAAGCCGUUAAGUUUGCCGCCUGGGAAGUACGUACGCAAGUAUGAAACUUAAAGGAAUUGGCGGGGGAGCACCACAAGGGGUGAAGCCUGCGGUUCAAUUGGAGUCAACGCCAGAAAUCUUACCCGGAGAGACAGCAGAAUGAAGGUCAAGCUGAAGACUUUACCAGACAAGCUGAGAGGUGGUGCAUGGCCGUCGCCAGCUCGUGCCGUGAGAUGUCCUGUUAAGUCAGGUAACGAGCGAGAUCCCUGCCCUUAGUUGCCACUAUUACUCUCAGGAGUAAUAGGGCGAAUUAAGGGGACCGCCGCAGUUAAUGCGGAGGAAGGAAGGGGCCACGGCAGGUCAGUAUGCCCCGAAACUCUGGGGCCACACGCGGGCUGCAAUGGUAACGACAAUUGGUUUCGAAUCCGAAAGGAUGAGGUAAUCCUCAAACGUUACCACAGUUAUGACUGAGGGCUGCAACUCGCCCUCACGAAUAUGGAAUCCCUAGUAACUGCGUGUCAUUAUCGCGCGGUGAAUACGUCCCUGCUCCUUGCACUCACCGCCCGU